Molecule: small nuclear RNA, 125 nt
Organism: Fukomys damarensis (Damara mole-rat)
Lineage: Eukaryota; Metazoa; Chordata; Mammalia; Rodentia; Bathyergidae
Gene: U4
Rfam family: U4 spliceosomal RNA
About the family: U4 small nuclear RNA (U4 snRNA) is a component of the major U2-dependent spliceosome. The structure of U4 snRNA from yeast and human has been reported. U4 snRNA presents a k-turn RNA motif in the 5p-SL related to recognition of Snu13 protein.
Source: Ensembl
AGCUUUGUGCAGUGGCAGUAUCAUAGCCAAUGAGGUUUAUCUGAGGCACAAUUAUUGCUAAUUGAAAACUUUUCCAUACUGGGGUAUGAAGGAGUUGGUUUUAAAUUUUAAUAUCCCAAGAGGGU